UGGGGAAUCUUGGGCAAUGGGCGCAAGCCUGAUCCAGCCAUGCCGCGUGAGUGACGAAGGCCUUAGGGUUGUAAAGCUCUUUUGGCGGGGACGAUAAUGACGGUACCCGCAGAAUAAGCCCCGGCUAACUUCGUGCCAGCAGCCGCGGUAAUACGAAGGGGGCUAGCGUUGUUCGGAAUUACUGGGCGUAAAGCGCACGUAGGCGGAUUUGUCAGUCAGGGGUGAAAUCCCGAGGCUCAACCUCGGAACUGCCUCCGAUACAGCAAGUCUCGAGUCCGGAAGAGGUGAGUGGAAUUCCUAGUGUAGAGGUGAAAUUCGUAGAUAUUAGGAAGAACACCAGUGGCGAAGGCGGCUCACUGGAUCGGUACUGACGCUGAGGUGCGAAAGCGUGGGGAGCAAACAGGAUUAGAUACCCCCGUAGUCCCUGAGCGGGCUGGCAAGGCGCAU
RNAcentral lists this ribosomal RNA (447 nucleotides) under uncultured bacterium. Its description in RNAcentral is "bacterial SSU rRNA". It matches the Rfam family "Bacterial small subunit ribosomal RNA", at positions 355 to 825 of the family's 1533-position model. The record is from RNAcentral.